Cricetulus griseus (Chinese hamster) is the source of this 2504-nucleotide non-coding RNA. Lineage: Eukaryota; Metazoa; Chordata; Mammalia; Rodentia; Cricetidae. The record is from RefSeq and is a predicted model, not a curated record.
CAGUAUAAAAGCAAAGGAUUUAAUCUCUGCAUCCCAGAAGCUGGAGCUGGUAGAGAAGAGUACAUUGUGCUGUAACAUCUGUCAGACAGAAAGGGUGACUAGAACAUGGUGACAUUAUGGUAGAACCUGAGAGAAAGCUUCGGGCUCUCCAUCCAGAGCCAGCUUGUGGAGAAGAAACAAUUGUGGUGUAGAGUCUUGUGAGCAUGUUACCUGGGCCAGAGUGACAAGAUCAUGUGGGACACAAUAGGUAGUAGCACAUGCCUUUGAUAUCAGCACAUGGGAGGCAGAGGCAGGCGGAUCUCUGCGUUUGAGGCCAGCCUUCUGUACAGAGAAAGUUCCAGUACAGCCAGGACUACACAGAGAAACUCCAUAAAAAUCCCUCCCUGCCAAAACUCCAUAUUUCAACAUUGGUAUGAGACAUACUCAGGAAUCUUCUUCUGACUGGGAUUUAAAGCAGGUCUCAUCACUGAAGGCCUCCCAAAUCUGCAGAGUCUGGGUCAUUGGCUCUGCACACAUAGCCACAGCCAGUACAACAGCAGCAUCCAGUCCCUUGUUGUUACCUUUGAGGAAGCUGGGGCUUCUAAGGAGUGUGGGUGAGGAGUUACUUAUAGACGGAAGAACCACUGAGGGGCAGCUGUGUCCCUGAAAGUCCAUCCAAACAUGGGCAAUGGCAACAAAAUCUGAAAACCUGAAGCUCAGUGAACAACUUGCUUAUAUAAUCUUGGUGAGGGGAGUGCCUUGUGCAUCUGGUCAGUUUUAAAGACUUCCAGAGACUGCUGAAUUGUUUACUUUUGAGUCUCAAGGAGCCUGACUUUAGAAUUUCCUGAGUCUUAACAAGCCCCGUUUAGAAAUUCCUGGGUCUUAAUGAGCUGUGGAGGAAUUGCUAUACAACGCCAUCAGGGCUGGCGUCCACAGGGAGUGCAGCAGGCAGCACUAUUCUUUAGAACACCCUGCUUCUACUCCACAUAGCCUGUUGUGUUUAUGAUUGCCAUAUUUAACUCAACUCGCUACAAUAUCACUUCUACAAAACAAUUCUUGUUAUUGGUUGCAGUGUGUUGUAUUAUUUUGCUUAGCUGAAAUCUGGAUUCUACUGGAAAUGAAGUAUUUAUACGUUACAUCUGACCACUCUAGGACUCUCAAGAAAAAAAAAAACUAAGAGAAGUAUUGCAAUGGGAGACCCAUGCAAAACUAGUAGAUGAGAUUAACAAUACAGACAAAACAUUGCCAUCGUUAAUGGAAACUGUUGAUUUUAUGUGUUAACUGAUUGAAUCAAGGUAAUCCAUUGUUUCUGGGGAUGUCUGUGAAGAUUUUCCUGGAAAAGAUUAGUGUUUGACUCAGUAGACAAUUGAAUAAAGGAGAUCUGCCUUCAGCAGUGUGAUCAGAAGCAUCAAGCCAACUGAAGGGCCCAGACAGAAGAAAAGCAUGGAAGAACUGUGCGCUGACACUCUACACUAGAGCCAGAAUGUUCUUAUGGAAUGGGUGAUGGUGACUCUCCAUGGAAAAUGCAGGGUGUCUGAGUAUCUAGAGAAAAGACAGGCAGUUUCAUUCCAGAAAGGCUUGUGCUGGGCUCAGCUAAUUCAGAUAAGAAAACUGACCCAGGACCUCCUUUCCUAUUGCACAAACCAACACAGAGGCCCUGUAUGCACAAAUUCACAGCUUCUCUACCAGGCUUUUACACUACCAGUGGGAAUUUUUCCACUGUAAACAUAGUGGGGCCUGCUACCACAUACCUCAGGGAAGUCUGCAGAUUCCAGAGCUUUCUGAAAUUCUUCAGAGUGCUGGAUUCUAAGCCCAUUUGUCACUUUGCAUGGGAGGAAUAAUGAAGGCUCCUACCGUGUUUGCCCCCUGCUUUUUCUUGAUCUCCUCUGCUGCCUCCUCUUGUAGAGCUGUGUGGCAAGAGAAGCUACUCAUCUUAACAGCUGUGAGGAAUGGACUCUUUCCAUUGCAAUGGCCACCUGAUCACUUACCCUCACCAUGCAGGAGCAGAAAUGGAAGGCACAUUGUGAGCACGCAGUUUCAAUUACUAAGGUGACCAUCUCGAGCAUAUGUGCAUGAAAAAUCAUGCACAAGAAUGGUCACAUGACAUAGCGACUCAUAUCAAAGCAGUCCCAGAUGACCUAACUCGAGAAGCCCCAGAAAUACUUUCCAGAAUGAAAAGUGGCCGUCUGCAUAUUAAUCUAUGGGUUCUUUGACAGCUACAUACAUGCCAACACUCAGUUGCUUUGCAUAAUACUCUCUAACCAUCCGCAUAUGCCAGAAUCCUAAGGGCACUGAUCUCCCUGAGUGCAUGAGUGUGUGCCCCCCCACCCUACACCUCCCUCUGUUGACCCAACCUUGCCAAUUGACAAACUCCCUCUCGAGUCUUGCAACUCGUAUUUUGAUCACCAGAUGGCGCCUGACUAUUUUCAAAAUGCUAGUUUUUAACUCUAAAAAGGUAUACUUUUUGUGAACAGAAACAAAAAUACUUCUCAAAACCAGUAAUAAAAAAUUAAGUACCAACUUAA